Anaerobacillus alkalilacustris is the source of this 119-nucleotide non-coding RNA. Lineage: Bacteria; Bacillati; Bacillota; Bacilli; Caryophanales; Bacillaceae. The record is from Rfam.
CCUCCCUUUAAAUGAGUCCUGUGAGGCUUGCAAGGGGUACUCCUCUUACUGAACUAUGCUUAAUGGCAGUUCAAAAGGAUGACCGUACCUCUUUGUGUACUCAAAGAGGUUUUUUGUAU